GGGUCAAUGAUGACACCUCAACUUGUCCUGAAGAGAGAAGAUGACAUAAAAAUCAUGCUCGAUAGGACUACCCUGAGGCCC
Small nucleolar RNA from Loxodonta africana (African savanna elephant), 81 nucleotides. Its record names the gene SNORD115. It matches the Rfam family "Small nucleolar RNA SNORD115". From Rfam's summary of the family: HBII-52 is a member of the C/D class of snoRNAs, which contain the C (UGAUGA) and D (CUGA) box motifs. HBII-52 is encoded in a tandemly repeated array with another C/D snoRNA, HBII-85, in the Prader-Willi syndrome (PWS) region of chromosome 15. NCBI's taxonomy places the organism in Eukaryota, Metazoa, Chordata, Mammalia, Proboscidea, Elephantidae. The record is from Ensembl.